Molecule: ribosomal RNA, 506 nt
Filed under: uncultured bacterium
Lineage: Bacteria
Description: partial 16S ribosomal RNA
Rfam family: Bacterial small subunit ribosomal RNA
Source: RNAcentral
AUUGAACGCUGGCGGCAGGCCUAACACACGCAAGUCGAACGGUAACAGGAAUCAGCUUGCUGAUUCGCUGACGAGUGGCGGACGGGUGAGUAAUGUCUGGGAAACUGCCUGAUGGAGGGGGAUAACUACUGGAAACGGUAGCUAAUACCGCAUAACGUCGCAAGACCAAAGAGGGGGACCUUCGGGCCUCUUGCCAUCGGAUGUGCCCAGAUGGGAUUAGCUAGUAGGUGGGGUAAUGGCUCACCUAGGCGACGAUCCCUAGCUGGGCUGAGAGGAUGACCAGCCACACUGGAACUGAGACACGGUCCAGACUCCUACGGGAGUCAGCAGUGGGGAAUAUUGCACAAUGGGCGCAAGCCUGAUGCAGCCAUGCCGCGUGUAUGAAGAAGGCCUUCGGGUUGUAAAGUACUUUCAGCGAGGAGGAAGGUGUUGAGGUUAAUAACCUUAGCAAUUGACGUUACUCGCAGAAGAAGCACCGGCUAACUCCGUGCCAGCCGCCGCCGUAA